GGGGCUUACGUUAGAGGAAAAGCAGGAAAGAGUACAUUCAAGAAAAAAGACAGAAAGAGGGGUGGGGGCUUGAAAAGAAGGUUUGACAACCUGCAUUUAAAAAGGUUUGUGUCUGUGCUCUCUUCACAAAUCCCUCUCUUCCACCGUCUGAACCUCUCGACCUCUCGAAGAUAUAUAGCCAACAUGUCAGAGCUUUGCAAUGCAAUGGACAUCCUCCUGGGAUUCUACUAUGAAGGAGCCCCAAAGAAAUUGAUCAAGAAAGAGCUUGCUGAAAUGUUAAACAAACAAUACCCUGACACACCCAAAGACAAACCUGACGUGAAGAAUUUGUUCACUAUGAUGGCUGCCGAUCCUGAUGGUGAAGUUUCUUUCACGGAGUUUGUCACUAUUGUAGCAGACUUCAACAUGAUGAUCAGUGCUUAAUAAAUCCUUU
Molecule: long non-coding RNA, 433 nt
Organism: Sebastes umbrosus (honeycomb rockfish)
Lineage: Eukaryota; Metazoa; Chordata; Actinopteri; Perciformes; Sebastidae
Exons: 3
Source: RefSeq, a predicted model, not a curated record